RNAcentral lists this ribosomal RNA (371 nucleotides) under uncultured bacterium. RNAcentral's name for it is "bacterial SSU rRNA". It matches the Rfam family "Bacterial small subunit ribosomal RNA", at positions 527 to 896 of the family's 1533-position model. The record is from RNAcentral.
GUAGAAGGCAAACGUUAUUCGGAUUUACUGGGCGUAAAGCAGGUGCAGACGGCCCCUUAAGUCGGGUGUUAAAUCUCCUGACUCAAUCAGGAGGGGUCAUUCGAUACUAAGGAGCUUGAGGGCAGCAGAGGAAGGCGGAAUUUCCGGUGUAGCGGUGAAAUGCGUAGAUAUCGGGAGGAACACCAGUGGCGAAGGCGGCCUUCUGGGCUGAUCCUGACGUUAAGACCUGAAAGCGUGGGGAGCGAAACGGAUUAGAUACCCGUGUAGUCCACGCCAUAAACUUUGGACACUAGGUAUGGGGAGUAUCGACCCUCUCUGUGCCGAAGCUAACGCUUUAAGUGUCCCGCCUGGGGACUACGGCCGCAAGGCUA